This 252-nucleotide ribosomal RNA is filed under the name uncultured bacterium. Its description in RNAcentral is "partial 16S ribosomal RNA". It matches the Rfam family "Bacterial small subunit ribosomal RNA", at positions 524 to 776 of the family's 1533-position model. The record is from RNAcentral.
UACGGAGGAUGCGAGCGUUAUCCGGAUUUAUUGGGUUUAAAGGGUGCGUAGGCGGGCUCUUAAGUCAGCGGUAAAAUUGCGGUGCUCAACUCCGUAGAGCCGUUGAAACUGGGAGCCUUGAGUGAGCGAGAAGUAGGCGGAAUGCGUGGUGUAGCGGUGAAAUGCAUAGAUAUCACGCAGAACUCCGAUUGCGAAGGCAGCUUACCGGCGCUCAACUGACGCUGAGGCACGAAAGUGCGGGGAUCGAACAGG